AAUGAAGUCGCGGGCUCCUCGGCUCUGAAGGGAGGGCGGUGGCUGCCUCUGGCAGGUGGCUUCGGGUGGCUUUGGAGUUGCCCAGCCUCUCUCCCCUCAUCAAACAACGGGAAGUUUUGGAGUUCCUGCAGCUCUGGCGUGCUGUCACCCCAUCAAAUGGCGCUUCUUGAAUGUCCACUUGGACUCGCAGCCCUGCCUGUUGCCCGCUGGGAUUUCCCUUUGACUCAGUUUCAGGGGCGAGUUGUUCUCCUGCUUUGUUCAUUUGGAUUAGAAACCCCAUGACGUCCAACCUGGCUUGCAUUUUUCCUUCUCUUUUUUGAAACAAUAAAAAUGUUUGGGAGGGAUUCUGGACUACAUUAGGGAUCGUUUUCAAUUUUCCUGUGAGCCAUAUGGAAAGACUCACCUCCACUUACAGCUUUUCCCUGAGACUGUCUGACCCACGGUCAACACCACAAAAUGGAAAAGACCUUUCGGGCAGGCAGCAUUUCAGCACACUUCCUGCCCUUGUCCUCCACUGACCUCAGCUCAAGUCAACUCACAGGAAGGCAGGACUUUGACGGUCGGGCCCAAGGAAACCGUCAGUCCUGGGGUGCCCCCUCCUCACUGACGCUAGGGCUCCCCAAACUCUGAAAGGUGAAAUUGGGGCUGCGUAUGGGGUGGGGAUUGGGGUGGCACAGGUGUUUCUCUUCCUUGGUUGAGGGAGAAAGAUCAGUGGCAUUUGUCCCGUUUGGUGCUGGUGCUGCCUCAAGGCCUCCUUGAGUUAAUGGAGAAAAGUCAUAAAAUGCAGUCUAGUGGCCUAGCUAUGUUUUCCUUGCAAAUACAGAUGUAAAUUACUCCGGCACAGAGAGUUUGAAUGGCUGAGUAAAUGUUUGACCUUCAGUAAGAUUUCAGAAUUGAGGUGUUUGGGUCUUUUUGCAUCAUUAGAAAACAUGUACCUGCACGUGACAAGUUAAGGGGGUGACAGAAGUAAAGACAAACAAGAUCAUUCACAGACGAUGGGAGUCGGGCUGGGGAGCUGGAAAACUCAGCGCCUGCCUUCAAGGCUCGUGAGACUUUUUGAUAUGGGGAUUAGAAUUAGCUGCAGAAGGAGCCCGCGGUAGGGAGAUUUUACAGGAAAGGUUCUUCGGGUGGAGGGAGAGACGGAAUCUGUGGAAGCAGAUCCCGCUCUGGCCAAGCGGGGCGAGAGGUCUUGAGGCUAUAGAGAAAGGAGAAAGAAGAGACUUAAGGCUGUUUGGUGCAUGGGGACUGGGGGAGAAAGGAGGGGGAAAGAGAGAGAGACGGAGGAAUGACUAGUGAGAAGUUUUGCUGUGAAUAAGCCUGGAAUCUCUUUGGGCGUUUUUCCAGAAACUCCGAUAAAGAUUUUGCUUUCUUCUCAAUUACUCUCAG
RNAcentral lists this long non-coding RNA (1386 nucleotides) under Equus caballus (horse). RNAcentral's name for it is "lncRNA (ENSECAG00000056932.1)". The record is from RNAcentral. Lineage: Eukaryota; Metazoa; Chordata; Mammalia; Perissodactyla; Equidae.